AACGAACGCUGGCGGCAGGCUUAACACAUGCAAGUCGAGCGAAUGGAUUAAGAGCUUGCUCUUAUGAAGUUAGCGGCGGACGGGUGAGUAACACGUGGGUAACCUGCCCAUAAGACUGGGAUAACUCCGGGAAACCGGGGCUAAUACCGGAUAACAUUUUGAACCGCAUGGUUCGAAAUUGAAAGGCGGCUUCGGCUGUCACUUAUGGAUGGACCCGCGUCGCAUUAGCUAGUUGGUGAGGUAACGGCUCACCAAGGCAACGAUGCGUAGCCGACCUGAGAGGGUGAUCGGCCACACUGGGAGUGAGACACGGCCCAGACUCCUACGGGAGGCAGCAGUAGGGAAUCUUCCGCAAUGGACGAAAGUCUGACGGAGCAACGCCGCGUGAGUGAUGAAGGCUUUCGGGUCGUAAAACUCUGUUGUUAGGGAAGAACAAGUGCUAGUUGAAUAAGCUGGCACCUUGACGGUACCUAACCAGAAAGCCACGGCUAACUACGUGCCAGCAGCCGCCGUAA
Molecule: ribosomal RNA, 515 nt
Filed under: uncultured bacterium
Lineage: Bacteria
Description: partial 16S ribosomal RNA
Rfam family: Bacterial small subunit ribosomal RNA
Source: RNAcentral